Molecule: transfer RNA, 67 nt
Filed under: Pedioplanis laticeps
Lineage: Eukaryota; Metazoa; Chordata; Lepidosauria; Squamata; Lacertidae
Description: tRNA-Arg
Source: RNAcentral
GGGGAUUAAUUUAAUUAAAAUAACUGAUUUCGACUCAGUAAAUUCUGACUUUUCCAGAAUCCCCAAU